Molecule: non-coding RNA, 133 nt
Organism: Erinaceus europaeus (western European hedgehog)
Lineage: Eukaryota; Metazoa; Chordata; Mammalia; Eulipotyphla; Erinaceidae
Source: Rfam
CUGUGAAUAUCCUCAUUGUCUUGAUUUUUGUAAUAAUCAGAGCAAGUUAAACAUUUACUAUAUAUAAGUCACGCAUAUGUUCCCAGACCUUGCUCUCUUCCUAGGUCUGAUUUAAUAAGUGCUGGUGAUAAAC